AAGAGCUGCAGACUGACAGAGAUCAGCUGUUCUUCUCUGGCUUCAGCUCUGAGGUCAAACCCCUCUCUUCUGAGAGAACUGGAUCUGAGUAGAAACAACCUGCAGGACUCAGCAGUGAAGGAGCUGCUUGAUCUACAGCAGAGUCCAACCUGUCGACUGGAGACUCUGAGGUGGGAGGGGGGAUCUUUCUGGAGGUGAGUGUGAAGAGGACAGUGUGUGUGGACGGAGGCUGAGCUGUGUCCUGAGGAUCCAGAGGCUGAAGCAGCAGCAGCUUGUGUGUAGUCUCCAAUCUACAAAACCUCUAAUCUGCAUGUGUUUGUGAGAUGAAGCCGGAGCACCUGGAGAAAACACGAGGAGAACAUGCAGACUCCACACAGGAAGAACCCAUCUGAACCGGAUUCAAACCAGCAACCUUCCUGCCCCGAUUGUGUUUAUUCACAUGAAGAAUGUGUUUACUGAAAUGACACAACACAAGCAGAAUAUAUAAACCCUCUACAAAGAGUCACAUACAGUGUGUUUAAGUUUGUCUUUAUUAUUUUCCACCUUUGUCCCUCAGUCUGUCUCCAUGUGUGCAGAACCACAUUCUGUGUAUAUGUUUUUUUAUGAUCUUAAAGUUAAAGUUUUUUCUUUGAUAUAAAAGAUCAAAACUCUGGACUUAAAAAUGGGACGUUUUCAUUUCUGCAUCAGGUGCAGAGCGGUGGUGGCUUUUCUACUUAUGACCCACAGGUGGCGCUGCAGUAUAACAGCAGCACAUCCCAGUCCAAGCCUUUAUAUUCAGUCUAUGAGUCAAACACAUGGAUCAUUUCUUCUGUGACAAACCAGAUGUAACGAGAAGAAAAACAUCUCAGAGAGAAAAGUUCUGUUUCUACUUGUCUCUGCUUUAAUGCUCAAUAAACAUCCUUCCACCGACUUCA
This is a long non-coding RNA of Limanda limanda (common dab), 914 nucleotides long. RefSeq lists it as uncharacterized. The transcript is spliced from 2 exons. The record is from RefSeq and is a predicted model, not a curated record. Lineage: Eukaryota; Metazoa; Chordata; Actinopteri; Pleuronectiformes; Pleuronectidae.